Molecule: long non-coding RNA, 2950 nt
Filed under: Marmota monax (woodchuck)
Lineage: Eukaryota; Metazoa; Chordata; Mammalia; Rodentia; Sciuridae
Rfam family: tRNA (bases 70-138)
Source: RNAcentral
CUCAAAGGCCUCCCUGCCUCUGUAUUGUAGGAAGAUCACAGGGUCUUCUGUCAAAACUCACAUAGGGCUGGGGCUGUAGCUCAGUGGUAGAGCGCUUGCCUAGCAUGUGUGAGGCACUGUGUUCGAUCCUCAGCACCACAUAAAAAUAAAUAAAUAAAUAAAACAAAGAUAUCAUGUCCAUCUACAACUAAAAAAAAAGAAAUAAAUAAACUAUGGCCCAAGUCUGUGCCCAUGUGGCUACGUGUACGGUGUUAGGAGAACAUGGCAGAGCCGUAUCCUACACACAGCCAUGUGAUCUUGCAAGUAGGAAUUUGGUUAAAUAAAGAAUAAAACAUACUUUAAAAUGUAAUGGCUAUUUGGAUAGCCUGGGUAUAACUUACAGGAAAGAUUUGAUUUGUUUUUCCCAGAAAGUUAUAUUUCAUUAGUUGCCAGAAAGUGACAUCUGGUUUUAAACUAACUGGGAGGUCAUAUUAGAUAUAAAAGGAAAUGAGUCUAGUUAGGCCUAAGCUGCACAUCCAUAAGGGCAGAGAGACGUUGUCAAGGAUCACAAAGUUUUGAAAGCACGUAGUUGGUAAAGAGAAAGUGCUCUUGGGCAUCCCUCUGGGGUACCACUUGAUAAAACUGCUUGGGAGAACAUUUGGCAAUAUCUAAUUUCUACAGCACAUAACUAGUUAUCCUACCUCUAGGAGGGUAUGCUGCCAAUAUACACACAAAGCUGUUCAGUACAGCUUUGCUUAAAAAAGAGCACAUGACUUGAAAUUAUCUAUAUACAGAGCCAUAAAAAGAAGGAAGCUCUUUAUGUUUUCAUGUAAAAAAAAAACUUACAAAAUAUAUUAAGUAAAAUAAGUUAGACGAGAACCACUUGUUUAAAAAAAAAAAGCAAAAGAAAUAAAAUGGCCUAUAUAAAAAAAAAUCUGUGAAAGAAUAUUUAAGAAACAAAUAUAUUUGGUUGCCUCUUAGGAGAACUGGAUGUUUCAGGGAUAAAGAUGAAAAGGAUAGCUAGGAAAAAGUUUGAAUUUUUGAUCUAUGUUUGUGAAUAAUAGGUAAAAGUGGAUAAAGCUAUCUUUGUAAAGAAUUUUUUACAUAAUGCUAAGCAUUCAUCAUAGGCCAUCGGAGAGAAGAUCAGGCCUUAUUCACACCUCCGACUGAUUGCCUGUGCACUUGCACAGGUGACAACUUUCUUGCCUCUGAGCUCAUUUUAGAAUUCUGAUGAUGGGAUUUAAAGUCGAAUAUCCUCCUCAAACAAGAAGGGGAUUUGUAAGGAGCUGGGAUCCAAAGAUAAUGGUUUUGCUAAUUGCUCUUUUGAACCCAUGUUGUUCAUCAGGCAUCCAAGUUAAAGUUGAGUAGAAAGAAGGAGAGAAACAGAGGGAGAAAGUCAUUACUUUUUCACAUCAUCUCUCUGGUACUUCAGAAUCCAGUGUCUUUCACUUCAAAAAUUAGCCUGGAAGAAAAAUAAAAUCCACAGUGCACUUAAGUCACCCGUGUCCAGAAAACUAUUCUUAGACUUUCAUGAUAAAAAUAGAAUAGGGAAAAAGUACCAAAGACUAUUUCCUCUCCCUCACAUCUGAUAUACCUGCAGCCUGAGAAAGCGUUGUUAGAUGCCACCCACACUUUACACUGUUAGCAAUCCCCUGAAUGAACUUUCUUCUAAAACUUAACUAUGACAGACUUGAAAAAUUCCAAGUUUGCCUUAAUGCCUGUUUUUGCUGGUCAGUAUCAUGGCAUACCUUUACAUUUAUGAGGUACUUUGAAGUUUUAAACAUUCUCAUAAAGAAGAGACUUCCUUACUUCUCCCAGCUACCCUACAAGGCUACUGAUAUUCAUCUCUCUGGUUUGGCCUUGAAGCAAUUAUUUAGACAAGUUAACUUAUAUCCAAGGCUUAUCAAGCAGAGCUUGAUAAGAGCUGAAUUUGAAGGCAGACAGGCCAGGGGAAGGGAAGACAGAAUGGAAAUCAGGGAUGGGAAUGAGAAGGCACAUCUGGAUGAACCCAUGUUUGGAUAUUGGAAUCAGGGUCUUGGGCAUAGAAAUACAAGUGGGAUUGGAGCCCAGGAGACACACAGUGCAACUGGAUGUCCCAACAAGGGGGUGACUGAUGUCCCCAUUCUCCAGGGAGGGAAGGGCACAGUGUUCUGCAUUGUUAGGGGAGGAAGGCAGCAGGGUUUAUCUCAAGCACAUCUUGUGGUUCCUUCCACCUAAGGUCUGAACUGAUGCACACUUUUGUUGGAGGAUGCCUGCUCUCCCAGAUUAACUACUGUAACAGCAAACCCCUGUGGUUCCUAUCCCUCAGACACAUGUGAGUCAUUAAUGUACCCCAAAUGCUGGAAGUUAGGGGAAGCAGUGGAUACUUUGUACCACUAAGUGUUUCUCUACUGCCCUCAUAUAUAAGGUUUGUUUUGUGGCUUGUUACGAAUGAAAACUGGCCUGAAUGGAAAAGCUCUGAUGUGACAAGUGGCAUCCCUGCCACCACUUCUGCUCCACCCUCUGCCAGCAACAGUCCCCAAGAAAUCAGCUAGGAGGAGGAGGAGCCCUGCUUUAUGAACUCCUGGUCAUCCUGUUUUGAAGAAAUGUAAGAAGAAAGGACUAACACCCGCCAGAUUUCAGCAUAGGAGAAGGAGGUCUUAUUCUCCUGUACAUGCUUACUUCAUUGAACUGUUGUUUCUUAGAGCAGAAGAAAAUGACUUCAUCCAACUACCUUUCUUAUGUAAGAAUCACAUAUUCUUUCAUUCAUUUAUCCAUUGAUUCAUUUGCUUUGAUUCGUCAUUUGUUAAUUCAUUCAACAUCUAAUGAAUAGCUACUCAGGGUCAAGUAAUGGGGAGAAGCUAAGAUAAAAUGUAUAGACCCUCAGUCUGAUAAGGAUUUAAGCAGUUAUUAUUCUUCUGUCUCAUCAUUUGCUUGCUUUAAUAUUAGUCUUCAAUAGGAAAAUAUAUUAAUAAAUAAUUUCCCUUAUUUA